CAUGAGAACUUACAGAACACGAAGCAUGCACGAACAGACUAAACAAACGAAACAGUCCCGUGUGGUACCUACACUGACACGGAAGACAAUCACCCACAAACAAACAGUGUGAACAGCCUACCUUAAUAUGGUUCUCAAUCAGAGGAAACGUAAAACACCUGCCCCUGAUUGAGAACCAUAUCAGGCUAAUUGAAAAGAACCCAACAUAGAAACACAUAACAUAGAAUGCCCACCCCAACUCACGUCCUGACCAUACUAAACAAAUACAAAACAAGGGAAAACAGGGGCCUGUUGCACAAAAGUAGAAUUAAGACAUCCGGGAUAAAUGACUCAGCUGAGCUCAAUGAAGCCAAAACAUGUGCGUCCAGGCUUAAUUGGUUGCACAAAGACCAAGCCAGGAUGAGCAGACACGGAUUCAUUAAGCCAGGUGAAACCAAUCCUGGAUAGGUGCGCGCUCACGGCUCACUCAAAUAGACCCCGCCACAGAUCACAGAUUAACUGAUUUACCAUGGCAACUAGAGCCGCGUACUUUUCCCCGUCGGAAGCACAAAUCCUCAUGGAGGCAUACGAGGAGGUAAAAGAUAUAAUUAAGAAGAAAGGCAACACCGCCACAGUGAUAAAGCAAAGAGAAAAAGCCUGGCAAAGUAUUGCAGACCGCCUGAAUGCGUAAGUAGUGCACAAUUACACAGUCACCGCUCCGCUGAAACAUCACAAUUACAAUUCAAAUAUUUAAUUCACAUCUCCAAAAAUGCAGUUGUACUGUAAUUAUGAAACGGUUACAUUUUUAAUUGAAAUGCACUGCAGAUAUGAGUGAAAUUGUGUAAAGUAACUCCAUCACACUGUAUGAAGCUAUGAUAAAUUUUUUGAUAUUUUUACUGAAAACAAGACAAAAAUACCAAGUAAUUUUUUGCAGUGUGACUCCAUUAAAUGUGUGUGUGUGUGUGUGUAGAUUAAACAUGAACGGGCCAAAACGGACAUGGCAGCAGGUCAAAAUCAAAUACAAGAACAUUCUGCAGAAUGCAGUGAAAAAGAAUACCCACAGACAAGGCACGGGUGGUGGGUCACCAAAGGCUGACCUUACCCCAGCAGAGGACAUGGCCUUGGAGCUAAAUAAAGGCAGGCCCGUCUUAGAGGGGAUCCCUGGGGGGAAAGAGACGAGCAUAGGUUCCUCCCAAGAUGCCACCCGCUUCAUUCAAGUGUCUGGCAGCACUGUGUUCCUGUUAGAGCCACCAGCACAAGCACCAGACGAUGCUGAUCCAGGUGAAGGCCCCAGUGCAGCAGCAACAGCACAUGAUGGAGACGAUGAUGAGGAGGAGACCAUCUCUCUGGAUUCCAGAAGGCAUGAGGUAUCAUGUUAAGACUGUGAAAGUACUAUUUGCUCUACAAUGGUGAGGAGUCCUCAUCAAAAUCAAAAAAUCUAAUUUAUUUUACAGGACCCAGAUGCUAUACAGUGGGAAAACCAGCCUGGCAACAUAGUGCGUAUUAAUAAAAGGACACCACAUCCUGCCAAAUUCCAGCUGCGCUAAUUGUAUUGUGUUCACAGAGCUCACAAGCUAUCAGAAAGUUGUAUGGCAACCACCUCUGGCGCCAAAUAGAACUGGCAGACAUAGACAUUCAGUACAAGAAGAAAAAGAUGGAAAAUCUUGCACUGGAGUCCGAAAUAAAAAAGAGGACAAUUAGGAAACUGGACCUUGAAAUAAAAAAACUUGAGAGGGAGGUGAGAUAUGCCUUCAAUGUACACUGUAUGCUAACUGUAACACAAAUGUAUUAAUCAUUAUUUUUCUUUCCUCCCCCAGCUCCAAGAAGAUGACACAGCUCAAAAUAAAAAUUAGGUAUAUUCUCGUAAAGUCAAGUGAGCCAUGACAUAUGAGCUCUUAUUGUGAGCACACAGGACGGUGGCAUCUUUCUAAGGUUUUUUUUAUUUUCCCAGCAAUCAGUACAACCAAGUCAUCGUUAUAAGGCAUCGCCCUCUUUUGCCCACCCCCCCAGCACCAGGUGUGGCCACUAGCCUAUAUGAAGGCCCAAAAUUGUGUGUUCCUUUCUGCUCUGACAAUGGCAUGCCCAUUCGUGCGAGAUGUGGUGGAUGAAGAAGCACUUGUGCUGAGGAGAGCCUUCAGGCGAGAAAGGGUCUUCAGGGACUGGUUGGACCCACUGGCCUUCCCUGAUGACCAUCUAUAUGAAAGAUACAGGUUUUCUGCAGAUGGCAUCAGGUAUCUAUGCAGACUACUGGGUCCCAGGAUUAAGCACCGCACUGCACGGAGCCAUGCACUGAGUGUGGAGCAAAUGGUUUGUGUGGCCUUGCGCUUUUUUGCUAGUGGAGCCUUCCUGUACUCAGUGGGGGAUGCAGAACAGCUGAACAAGGCCACAAUUUGCCGCACAAUAAGGAGUGUGUGUCUGGCUAUCAAAGCAUUAGCAGAUGUCUUCAUCUCCUUCCCUGGCCACAGAAGACUCUGUGACAUCAAAGAGGAGUUCUAUAGGAUUGCAGAUGGUCUGCAAUGCUGACUGUGUGAUCAGCAAUGUUGUGGCAAAAUGGCCUGGCUCAGUCCAUGACUCCAGAAUCUUUCGGGCCUCUGAAAUCUAUCACAAGGUGAAUUCUCUGGUGUGUUGCUGGGAGACAGGGGGUAUGGCUGCCAGCCUUUUCUCCUGACACCUUUCACAGACCCCCAGGAAGCACAGCAGGCCUACAACUAUGCCCAUGCCAGGACCAGGGCCAGAGUUGAAAUGACCUUUGGUCUCCUGAAGGCACGCUUUCACUGCCUUCACAAAUUAAGGGUCAGCCCUGUUAGGGCAUGUGAUAUUACUGUGGCUUGUGCUGUCCUCCACAAUGUGGCCUGCCUGAGGAAGGAGAGGGCCCCCAGAGUGCCACCAGCCAUGGACUGGGACAAUCCGGCAAUCUUCCCUGAUGACGACAGUGGUCGGCUGCUGAGGGACCAAUAUGUGUUGAAUUAUUUUAGUUAGUAUGUGUGCUUUCAAUUUUGGUUAAAUAUGUCCUGCGGUGGCAGAGGAAUUUGGGUUUUUUUGGGUUCGUUUUUUUACGAAUUUGGCCUCAUGAUGUUUGUGCGGUAUACUGUGUGUAAUACAAGGCUGCAGGGAGGCUACUGCAUCCAUUCAUUUGUCUGUUCAGUUGAUGUGUAUGGAUUUGUCCUGCAUUUAUUUUAGUGUGCAGACAUGCAGGGUGUGUUAUAUACAGACCUUUGAAUGUGUAUGUAUCAUUUUGUAUAAUAUGCUUGGAUUCUGUGCUUUCCAUCUUGUAGAGUCACUGUGACUUCAGUUUCGAAAGGAGCUGAUGGUUUACCUGCUUUGUUUUGUCCUUAUUCAAUAAAGGAACAUAAUGUUACACAUUGUGUUUUUAUAUUCAUAUGGAAUGUGUAUUUGUUUAUAUGACAGAGUACUAGGGCCACACUGAAGAAAAAGGAUAAAGUCAUACAUUUAUGAGGCUGGUUCUUUCUGCAGAAAAGCUACAUAUUGUUUUUACAGUUUUGAUACUUAUGACAAUGUGAUACUUAAUAUUCUGGCACAUCAGCAUGUCUUUGUUUAUGAAACCAUACUGAAGUACAAUUUCACGAAAUGCCCCACAUCUGUCAUUUUAACAACUGUCCUCCUUUAAAACAACUGGUUACAAUAUUAUUACUUGUGUUUUUUUCCCCUCUGUGGCCCUAAUAUUCUAUCAUUUUAUAUAUAGCCUUAUAGUCUAUGGGAAACUGUAAAUUAUCUAAUGAUAGCAACAUCAUCUAAAAAUU
This is a long non-coding RNA of Salvelinus fontinalis (brook trout), 3740 nucleotides long. RefSeq lists it as uncharacterized. The transcript has 6 exons. The record is from RefSeq and is a predicted model, not a curated record. NCBI's taxonomy places the organism in Eukaryota, Metazoa, Chordata, Actinopteri, Salmoniformes, Salmonidae.